UACGAAGGGGGCUAGCGUUGCUCGGAAUCACUGGGCGUAAAGCGCACGUAGGCGGAUGUUUAAGUCAGAGGUGAAAGCCUGGAGCUCAACUCCAGAACUGCCUUUGAUACUGGGGAUCUCGAGUCCGGAAGAGGUGAGUGGAACUCCGAGUGUAGAGGUGAAAUUCGUAGAUAUUCGGAAGAACACCAGUGGCGAAGGCGGCUCACUGGUCCGGUACUGACGCUGAGGUGCGAAAGCGUGGGGAGCAAACAGG
Molecule: ribosomal RNA, 253 nt
Filed under: uncultured bacterium
Lineage: Bacteria
Description: partial 16S ribosomal RNA
Rfam family: Bacterial small subunit ribosomal RNA
Source: RNAcentral